GAUGAAGAACGUAGCGAAAUGCGAUAAGUAAUGUGAAUUGCAGAAUUCAGUGAAUCAUCGAAUCUUUGAACGCACCUUGCACCCUUUGGCAUUCCGAAGGGUAUGCUCGUUUGAGUGUCAUUGUACUCUCACUCUCCCGAUACUUUUGGAUCGGGAGUGGUGGACUUGGGUGCUGCAGCUUAACUGUGGCUCGCCUUAAAUGAAGUAGUGCAACUCUCGGUUGGACAUAGUACGGCGUGAUAAGUGUCUUCGCCGGCGCCUCAUUCGAGGGUGGCCGAUCGGGAGCUCUGUGCUUCAAACUGUCUUCGGACAACAUCUGACAACUUGACCUCAAAUCGAGUAGGACUACCCGCUGAACUUAAGCAUAUCAAUAAGCGGAGGA
Molecule: unclassified non-coding RNA, 382 nt
Filed under: soil metagenome
Description: partial contains 5.8S ribosomal RNA, internal transcribed spacer 2, and large subunit ribosomal RNA
Rfam family: 5.8S ribosomal RNA (bases 1-120)
Source: RNAcentral